GUACUUCUGGCAAGUGCAUAUAAAAUUGAAACGAUGCAAAGAAAAUUAGCGUGGCCCCUGCGCAAGAAUGACACGCAAGAUCGUGAAGCGCUCCAAAAUUAU
Molecule: small nuclear RNA, 102 nt
Organism: Stegodyphus dumicola
Lineage: Eukaryota; Metazoa; Arthropoda; Arachnida; Araneae; Eresidae
Source: RefSeq, a predicted model, not a curated record